GUGCCAGCCGCCGCGGUAAUACAGAGGCCUCGAGCGUUAAUCGGAGUCACUGGGCUUAAAGGGUGCGUAGGCGGCGCUGCAAGUGUCUUGUGAAAUCCCACGGCUCAACCGUGGAAUUGCUCGACAGACUGCAGUGCUUGAGGUUGGUAGGGGUCGCUGGAACUCUAGGUGGAGCGGUGAAAUGCGUAGAUAUCUAGAGGAACGCCGAAGGUGAAGACAGGCGACUGGGCCAAUUCUGACGCUGAGGCACGAAAGCGUGGGGAGCGAACGGGAUUAGAAACCCGCGUAGUCC
Molecule: ribosomal RNA, 292 nt
Filed under: uncultured bacterium
Lineage: Bacteria
Description: partial 16S ribosomal RNA
Rfam family: Bacterial small subunit ribosomal RNA
Source: RNAcentral